This is a long non-coding RNA of Equus asinus (donkey), 3817 nucleotides long. NCBI's taxonomy places the organism in Eukaryota, Metazoa, Chordata, Mammalia, Perissodactyla, Equidae. The record is from Ensembl.
UGUGGUUCUACGGGAAGUGUGGGCUGGGUUUCUUCUAUCUGGACCGUGGCGGAACAUGGGGGUUUGUGAGGUCAGAAGGGAGGAGAUGCCGAGGUGGAAACUGCAGCCUUCUGUUCAUUGUGUAGACCUGGGGAAGAAUGAGGGGGCAGUCGAUUGGCUGCAAAAGGAGGCUGGGGAAGCUGAAUAGUGAUAACAACAGUUACCAUUUACUGGGCAUCUUUUCUAUGCCAACACUACUGUAAAGGCGAUAUUCAAAUCAACGCCCUAUAGGUGAAGAAAUCGAGGCCCAGAAAGUCUCAGUUCAUCAGAGACUGAGCCCCGAGACCAUCACCCAAGAGGUUCACCCUCAACAGAUGGGUUCCCUAAAUCCUGCCUUGUUCUCAAGAAGGCUGAAUGCAGAGGUAUCCAUGCCAAGACUGCACUAAGAGAGUUCCAGCAACCUCUUUGCUAACUCUGCUUUACUGCUCGGGAACACAUCAAUUGUCAAAAUUCCGUUAGGAAAUGAAGUGAUGUUGGCCUGGUUCCUCUCAGCUACCCUGGCUUCCUCCAACUGAGAGGGACAGCAGUCACCCCCUGUCAGAGAGCCUGGCCUGAGAUGAAGGAAAGAACUGCCAACACAGUGGGGUGCAGGAGAAGCCAGAGGCCCACCUGCCCCAAAUUACCUACCUCCUUGGGCUGCUUCUGUGCUCGGAACUCCUGCCAUUGGCUUCUCUUGCCCGGAUCAAGGCCCAGUCAGAAACAUGAAUUUGUGAGCUGAGGAUUCACUUUGGGCAGGAGUACCAGCAGCUUUCUUGACAAUCACAUGGGGAGAGUCAGUUGGAGGAGUGAAACCUUAUAGAGACAAGAUGAGCAGAGAGGUAGAGAAAGAAAACCAACCGUGAUGAGCCCCUUGCUCCAGUGUGCCUCAAGCCACCUGUAUCUCUGGACCUUCCAGUUACGUAUUUUCAAACCUCAAAAUGAAGAGAGGAAGUUGGAGUGAGUGAACCCCGAGUUCAGACAGUUACACCUCCAGCUCCCACCUGUGCUGACCAGCUCCUUCCCUGCCUCCUGCCCACACACCUCCAUCUGACUGGCUGCCAUAUUGGGCUGGGAAGAGAGAAAGGGGCAGAAGAGGAGAGAAUAAGGAAAAGGACCAAAGUGGUUUCAGUUUGAAAACCAUAAUGAAUUUAACAUAGAUCAAGAAAAGCCGCAGAAGCAAUUUUUCCCAUCUGGGAAGGAACAGAAUCUACAAUUUUGUGCCAUUUGUCUACCCUGUCACUAACUGCAGAGAAAACAUUCUAACACUGUCCUUUGUGGCCUCAAGCCAUUUCCCUGGGGCUAUUGGACUAAAAAAACCCAGAGAAAUAAAAAAAUCAGAAUCUAAGUAAAACUUGAACGUUAGUCAGAGACCCGCGGCACAGGGAUUCAUUCAGCUGGUUAUUUUAAAUAAUUCACUCCAGAAAAAGACUGGUUGAGUACGUGUAUAUAUCUCACCAACUUCAACAUCAUUCACAGAUGUUGGCAAGUGACUAAAAAAGAAGUGGAACUUUGUUUGAUGUUUAGAGAUGGGUGUACCCAAUUAUACCCACAGAAUUCGAGAACUGGAAGGAGACUGAGAAAUCAGUUAGUAGAGUAAGUCAGGGCAUGAAACCUUUUUCUGGGGGGCUGCUUCUGAGUUUCCUUAAAUUUUAUGAUCACAGGAGACAUAAACCUUGAUGUGGCUGGAGAGGGAAAGGAAGGGGUAUACGGAGCACGUGAUGCUAUCAUCUUUCUGCUUUAACGUCUCACGUCUCCCCCGCCUGUAGCAGCAUUUCUGUGGAACAUCAGUCUCCCAGGCUCCUCUCUGCAAAGGUUUGCACAGUCAUGCUCCUUUGGGAAAUGCUGCCAGUUACAUCCCACUCUUGGAAAUUUGCAAUGCGCAUCCACGUAAUAAAUGCUGUUGAACCAAGCAGUCCUGGAAUAAAGAAAACCUCCUUAACUCUGUUUAAGCCAAGCUUCCAAUCUUAUUUUAUGAUUGUAUCAGGUAGGAUACAGCUGCAAGUGACAGAAACUCUGACUCAAAACUGGGAUAAACAAUAAGGACAUGGGUCCUUCACAAACCAGACGCUCAGCAAGGUAAAGCAGGUUUUGGAGAUUUCUCCUCCCGUUUUUCUGCUCUGGCGUUCUCAGUGAUGGCUUCCUCAUUAGGCCGAUCAAGACGGCAGUUCCAGGCAUCACAUUCAGGGCUGACACAUGGCAGAGGAAGAAGAGAGAGCAUUUCUUCCUGAGAAGAAACUCUCCCGCAAGGACCGUGACAUCCAUUCAGGUCUCAUUGGCCAGAAUCACAUCACGUGUCCACUCCUGAGUCAGUCAUUGGCAAAAAGAAUGGCGUUUCCCUCUGACCAUUCGCCCUGAAGCUGGAGGUGAGUCAGCUUCCCUGAAGCAGGUGGCUGCGUGGAGGUGGAAUGUAUUCCUGAACAAAACUGGAGCUCUGUUGGGAAGGCAGCGCAGAAUGGGCAGGCAGUCAACAGUGUCCACUCCAACUGCAGACUCCCUUUCACACUUAACACCCUGUGAUGGCCAAUUCUAUGUGUCCACUUGACUGGUCCGCAGGGUGCCCAUAAAUUUGCUCAAACAUUAUUCCGGGCGUGUCUGUGACGGUGUCUCUGGAUGAGAUUAACAUCUGAAUCGGUAGACUGACUAAAGCGCAUUGCCUCCCCAGUGUGGGUGAGCUCAUCCAAUCCGUUGAAGACCUGAAGAGAAUGAAAAGACUGAGAAGUGAACUCCUCCUGCCUGACUACCUGAGCGAUGACAUUGGUUUCUCCCAGUGUUUGAACUUGAAACAUCAGCUCUUCUUGGGUCUCCAGCUUGCUGACUGCAGAUCUUGGGACUUAUCAGCCUCCACUUCCUGAGAAUAAGUCUUUUCUUUUUACACAUAUAUACACAUAUGUGUAUGUGUGUGCAUGUUGUUGUUGUUCCUCUUUGAGACUUAGCACAAUAUGUGGUACUUGACUAGUGCUCAACAAAUGCUUGUGAAUGACUGGCUGACUGAUCUUCAUACCUAAGGAAACUGAAAUUCCGACAGGGUGAAGUGAGAAGCACAAUAUCACAUAGAAAGGAAGUGCUAGAACUUGGAACCUGGGUCUCCUGACUUCUGAAAUCAGGAGCUGUGCAUGACACCUAGAGGUUGCAUCCCACCAUGUGACAGCAUUCCUGUUACUCAAGUAACAAACUUUUAUUGAACACCUAUUAUGUGCCAGACACUCUUCUGGGGAUCCAUGAUGAAGAAGACACAAUCCCUGCCCUCAAGGCACCAGAUAGCCUUCCCCUGGACCAAAGCCUCCAGCUGGCCUCCCUGCAUCCAGGCUUCUGCUCCUCCCAUCCAUCCCUCAGGGCACCACCAGAAUGACUUCUUGGUUUACAUGCUUCAAAAGCGAUGGCCUCCUGGGAAUAAUGUGCACACUCCUGGCCUUCCAUUGUGGUAACCCAUCCAUAAUCUAACUUCUCUUACCCACACAGACUCACAUUUGACCACUGGCCAACUCAGCCUUUCUCACUGUGGGGACAAGACUGCUCACUGCCCCACAAACCACACAGCAGACUUCUUUCCAUCUCCACACCUUUGCUCCUUUGGUGCCUCCCAGCUGACAAACUUUCUUCACUUCUCAACUUGUAACUGGCAUGACCUACUUCAUUAGCUUGGAGUACAAGCAUAUUCACUUUUUCUUCCUCAAUUAAACCCUUGGAGGUCUUACAUGUUUCUAUUAGAAUUAUAUUUCCAUCUUUAUGAUCUCCUAAAAUUUGUACAAGAGUCCCACGAGCUUUCUAAGUAAAAUGAAACGACAACUAGAAAAUCUAA